UUUAACUGAGCGUUCAGUUACUUGACGUAGACCCGAAACCGGGCGACCUACCCAUGAGCAGGAUGAAGCGAAAGUAAAAUUUCGUGGAGGUCCGAACCCACGAGCGUUGAAAAGCUCGGGGAUGACUUGUGGGUAGCGGUGAAAUUCCAAUCGAGCCCGGAGAUAGCUGGUUCUCCCCGAAAUAGCUUUAGGGCUAGCCUCAAGGUGAGAGAUACGGAGGUAGAGCACUGAAUGUCCUAGGGGGUAUUGCACCUACCGAAGACUAUCAAACUCCGAAUGCCGUCAUCUUAUACUUGGGAGUCAGACUGUGGGUGAUAAGAUUCAUAGUCGAAAGGGCAACAGCCCAGAUCGUCAGCUAAGGUCCCUAAAUGUAAGUUAAGUGGUAAAGGAUGUGGGAUUGCACAGACAACCAGGAUGUUGGCUUAGAAGCAGCCACUCAUUCAAAGAGUGCGUAAUAGCUCACUGGUCGAGUGAUCCUGCGCCGAAGAUUUCCGGGGCUAAAACUUACUACCGAAGCUACGGCAUCAGUAAUGAUGGGUAGGGGAGCUUC
This 550-nucleotide ribosomal RNA is filed under the name Clostridioides difficile. RNAcentral describes it as "partial 23S ribosomal RNA". It matches the Rfam family "Bacterial large subunit ribosomal RNA", at positions 683 to 1240 of the family's 2925-position model. Lineage: Bacteria; Bacillati; Bacillota; Clostridia; Peptostreptococcales; Peptostreptococcaceae. The record is from RNAcentral.